This 168-nucleotide non-coding RNA is filed under the name Hydrogenibacillus schlegelii. RNAcentral describes it as "SAM-I sequence". It matches the Rfam family "SAM riboswitch aptamer (S box leader)". Rfam says of the family: The SAM riboswitch is found upstream of a number of genes which code for proteins involved in methionine or cysteine biosynthesis in Gram-positive bacteria. The SAM riboswitch acts at the level of transcription termination control. The record is from Rfam by way of RNAcentral. Lineage: Bacteria; Bacillati; Bacillota; Bacilli; Thermicanales; Thermicanaceae.
UUCUUAUCGAGAGCGGCGGAGGGACUGGCCCGAUGAAGCCCGGCAACCGUCUUGUGCGGAAUCGGCUGCGGUCACGCAGGGUCCGGAGGAGCAAGCUCCGGGCGAGACGCUUCCGCACAAGAUUUGGUGCCAACUCCUGCGGAAGGCGCGCCUUGCGUAUCGCGGGUG